This is a non-coding RNA of Gymnopus androsaceus JB14, 85 nucleotides long. The record is from the annotation of a GenBank genome assembly. Lineage: Eukaryota; Fungi; Basidiomycota; Agaricomycetes; Agaricales; Omphalotaceae.
UCCCUGGUAGUAUAUCGGUUAGUACACGCGCCUGUCAUAUUUUCGUCGAGCGCGCGAAAGCUGGGUUCGACUCCCAGCCAGGGAG